GGCUAACGCUGGCGGCGCGCCUAACACAUGCAAGUCGAACGAGGCUCUUUUGGUUUACUAGAAGAUGUCCUAGUGGCAGACGGGUGAGUAACGCGUGAGCAAUGUGCCUUUUUUCUGGGGAUACCGUUUGGAAACGAACGUUAAUACCGAAUGUGGUCAUCGCAGGGCAUCCUGUGUUGAUUAAACUGUUAGGGAGAGAAGAGCAGCUCGCGUACUAUCAGCUAGAUGGUGGGGUAAUGGCCUACCAUGGCGACGACGGUUAACUGGUCUGAGAGGAUGAUCAGUCACACUGGAACUGAGACACGGUCCAGACUCCUACGGGAGGCAGCAGUGAGGAAUCUUGCACAAUGGGGGAAACCCUGAUGCAGCGACGCCGCGUGAGGGACGACGGCCUUCGGGUUGUAAACCUCUGUCAGUAGGGAAGAAGUAUGACGGUACCUACUGAGGAAGCUUCGGCUAACUACG
This 465-nucleotide ribosomal RNA is filed under the name uncultured bacterium. Its description in RNAcentral is "bacterial SSU rRNA". It matches the Rfam family "Bacterial small subunit ribosomal RNA", at positions 28 to 505 of the family's 1533-position model. The record is from RNAcentral.